RNAcentral lists this ribosomal RNA (254 nucleotides) under uncultured bacterium. RNAcentral describes it as "partial 16S ribosomal RNA". It matches the Rfam family "Bacterial small subunit ribosomal RNA", at positions 524 to 776 of the family's 1533-position model. The record is from RNAcentral.
UACGUAGGGUGCGAGCGUUGUCCGGAAUUAUUGGGCGUAAAGAGCUCGUAGGCGGUGUGUCGCGUCGGCCGUGAAAACCUGGGGCUCAACUCUGGGCGUGCGGUCGAUACGGGCAUCACUUGAGUUCGGCAGGGGAGACUGGAAUUCCUGGUGUAGCGGUGAAAUGCGCAGAUAUCAGGAGGAACACCGGUGGCGAAGGCGGGUCUCUGGGCCGAUACUGACGCUGAGGCGCGAAAGCUAGGGGAGCGAACGGG